GUGUCAGCAGCCGCGGUAAUACGUAUGGUGCUAACGUUGUUCGGAAUCACUGGGCUUAAAGAGCACGUAGGCGGUUGAGAAAGUCUGAUGUGAAAGCCCCCGGCCCAACCGGGGAAUUGCAUCAGAAACUACUUGUCUAGAGUGCAGGAGGGGAGAGUGGAAUUCCUGGUGGAGCGGUGAAAUGCGUAGAUAUCAGGAGGAACGCCGGUGGCGAAAGCGACUCUCUGGCCUGUUACUGACGCUGAGGUGCGAAAGCUAGGGGAGCAAACGGGAUUAGAAACCCUCGUAGUCC
Molecule: ribosomal RNA, 292 nt
Filed under: uncultured bacterium
Lineage: Bacteria
Description: partial 16S ribosomal RNA
Rfam family: Bacterial small subunit ribosomal RNA
Source: RNAcentral